This 202-nucleotide long non-coding RNA is filed under the name Gossypium barbadense (sea-island cotton). Its description in RNAcentral is "long non-coding RNA (GBAR_LNC007303)". The record is from RNAcentral. Lineage: Eukaryota; Viridiplantae; Streptophyta; Magnoliopsida; Malvales; Malvaceae.
CAAACCUUUCCACAAGGACCAAGUGUUUAUAUUUGAAUAUAAACAUAGAAUCACUUCACAUAACUUCACACAUUUACCGAAUAUAUCACAAUCACAUUUAUAGUCAUAACACUUAUUCACAGAUGCAUCACUUUAUAUAUUUAUAAUUUAAUUCAAAUCAAAAUCGCAUACGAGUACAUGAUACAUACCUGGCCAACUUAAU